AUUGAACGCUGGCGGCAGGCCUAACACAUGCAAGUCGAGCGGAUGAAGGGAGCUUGCUCCUGGAUUCAGCGGCGGACGGGUGAGUAAUGCCUAGGAAUCUGCCUGGUAGUUGGUGAUAACGUCCGGAAACGGGCGCUAAUACCUCAUACGUCCUGAGGGAGAAAGUGGGGGAUCUUCGGACCUCACGCUAUCAGAUGAGCCUAGGUCGGAUUAGCUAGUUGGUGGGGUAAAGGCCUACCAAGGCGACGAUCCGUAACUGGUCUGAGAGGAUGAUCAGUCACACUGGAACUGAGACACGGUCCAGACUCCUACGGGAGGCAGCAGUGGGGAAUAUUGGACAAUGGGCGAAAGCCUGAUCCAGCCAUGCCGCGUGUGUGAAGAAGGUCUUCGGAUUGUAAAGCACUUUAAGUUGGGAGGAAGGGCAGUAAGUUAAUACCUUGCUGUUUUGACGUUACCAACAGAAUAAGCACCGGCUAACUUCGUG
Molecule: ribosomal RNA, 484 nt
Filed under: uncultured bacterium
Lineage: Bacteria
Description: partial 16S ribosomal RNA
Rfam family: Bacterial small subunit ribosomal RNA
Source: RNAcentral